CGGUAAUGAUGACCCUCCACUUCAUGGUCCGUGUUUCUGAAACUCGUGAUUUGGUGGAAGUUCUGACUUG
Molecule: small nucleolar RNA, 70 nt
Organism: Ornithorhynchus anatinus (platypus)
Lineage: Eukaryota; Metazoa; Chordata; Mammalia; Monotremata; Ornithorhynchidae
Product: small nucleolar RNA SNORD18
Exons: 1
Source: RefSeq, a predicted model, not a curated record